CUUAAUUUAGGACCAUGCAUUGCAUUUACUUAACCAUAGCUUCCUCUUGUCUUACUAUUCCUUGAUAAUGGCUCUAUACCUCAUACACACAUCUAAUAUUCUGUCAAGUUGUGUUGUUGGCCUGGAGAGAACCCUAGAGGACAAACAAAACUCAUAGUUACUGAGUUAACAAGAGUCAGAGAAAAGCAGGUUCAAUAGUUUUAAGGUAUAAAUAUUUCAUUUUAAGAUUUGAUUAUUAAUUACCAUCCUCCAUGGUAAACUGACAAGGAUAUUUAUAAAUUGGAAAAUAUACCUGCUCUCUUGGGCAAUUUUAAAGAAAAGUUUUAUGCUCUCUUGAGGAUAUUAGUGACUGUCCCUAGUUUGUACUACUGAAAUAUUGCCCUUUUUCAAUCUAUUUCCUAGCUUACUUACUUGAAUAUUUUCCCUUAAUAACAGAUUGCUUGUAUUCUGAUGACAUCUGUGGAGGUACUUUAAUUUGAACUAGUUACAAAUCUCUAACCACAUAGAAACAUGCUAAAUGACUUUCCUAUCAAAGCACAAUGAGGACAUAAAGAUGUUGAUCUUUGGAGUCAGAUCAGAUCAGAUCAGUCGCUCAGUCAUGUCCGACUCUUUGCGACCCCAUGAAUCGCAGCAUGCCAGGCCACCCUGUCCAUCACCAACUCCCGGAGUUCACUCAGACUCACGUCCAUCGAGUCAAUGAUGCCAUCCAGCCAUCUCAUCCUCUGUCGUCCCCUUCUCCUCUUGCCCCCAAUCCCUCCCAGCAUCAGAGUCUUUUCCAAUGAGUCAACACUUCGCAUGAGGUAGCCAAAGUAUUGGAGUUUCAGCUUUAGCAUCAUUUCUUCCAAAGAAAUCCCAGGACUGAUCUCCUUCAGAAUGGACUGGUUGGAUCUCCUCGCAGUCCAAGGGACUCUCAAGAGUCUUCUCCAACACCACAAUUCAAAAGCAUCAAUUCUUCAGCGCCCAGCCUUCUUCACAGUCCAACUCUCACAUCCAUACAUGACCACAGGAAAAACCAUAGCCUUGACUAGAUGAACCUUUGUUGGCAAAGUAAUGUCUCUGCUUUUGAAUAUGCUAUCUAGGUUGGUCAUAACUUUCCUUCCAAGGAGUAAGCGUCUUUUAAUUUCAUGGCUGCAGUCACCAUCUGCAGUGAUUUUGGAGCCCAGAAAAAUAAAGUCUGACACUGUUUCCACUGUUUCCCAUCUAUUUCCCAUGAAGUGAUGGGACCAGAUGCCAUGAUCUUAGUUUUCUGAAUGUUGAGCUUUAAGCCAACUUUUUCACUCUCCACUUUCACUUUCAUCAAGAGGCUUUUUAGUUCCUCUUCACUUUCUGCCAUAAGGGUGGUGUCAUCUGCAUAUCUGAGGUUAUUAAUAUUUCUCCGGGCAAUCUUCAUUCCAGCUUGUGUUUCUUCCAGUCCAGUGUUUCUCAUGAUGUACUCUGCAUAGAAGUUAAAUAAACAGGGUGACAGUAUACAGCCUUGACGAACUCCUUUUCCUAUUUGGAACCAGACUGUUGUUCCAUGUCCAGUUCUAACUGUUGCUUCCUGAUCCGCAUACAAAUUUCUCAAGAGGCAGAUCAGGUGGUCUGGUAUUCCUAUCUCUUUCAGAAUUUUCCACAGUUUAUUGUGAUCCACACAGUCAAAGGCUUUGGCAUAGUCAAUAAAACAGAAAUAGAUGUUUUUCUGGAACUCUCUUGCUUUUUCCAUGAUCCAGCAGAUGUUGGCAAUUUGAUCUCUAGUUCCUCUGCCUUUUCUAAAACCAGCUUGAACAUCAGGAAGUUCACGGUUCACAUAGUGCUGAAGCCUGACUUGGAGAAUUUUGAGCAUUACUUUACUAGCGUGUGAGAUGAGUACAAUUGUGCGGUAGUUUGAGCCUUCUUUGGCAUUGCCUUUCUUUGGGAUUGGAAUGAAAACUGACCUUUUCCAGUCCUGUGGCCACUGCUGAGUUUUCCAAAUUUGCUGGCAUAUUGAGAUUAAGAUGUUCACAGCAUCAUCUUUCAGGAUUUGGAAUAGCUCAACUGGAGUCAAUGAAAUUCUAAAUUCUGGUUCCACUGCUCACUAGUGGUAUUAACCUAUGCUAAUUAUUCAACUUUUCUCAUUUAGCAAUCAUUCAACAGAUAAUGGGGGCUAUGGUAUUUGGGGAGAAUUAUAAUGUUCUACAUAAGCACAUGGUCCUUGGAGCACAGCAAUAUGGUUUCAAAUCCUUGUUCAGCACUCAUUGGCCUUGGAAUUUGGGACAAGAUACUGCACCUCUCUGAAUUCAAGUUUCUUUAUCUAUAAGAAGAAAUCAAUAAUGGUACUUAACCUAAUUGCAUUAUUCUAUUGAAUGAAAUAAUGUUUGUAAAAUGUUUUUCAGGGUUCUUAGGAUGUAACAACUGCCCAACCCAUUACUAAUUUACUAAUAUCUUAAAUUAAUAGCAAUAUUAACAAAAAUAAUAAAGUAUAUUUAGACAUCAAAGAAAGUAUCUUUCUUUUGACCUUGACUGUGUCUUCUCUGCACUCCUUUUCUCAGUCUUUCAGGGGCCUGCUGCUAAGCUAAUUUCAGUCAAGACCCCAUAAUUGUGAUUUGCUCAUCCUUUCCAUCUUAAAAAAAUCAUUCCCUUCAAAUAAAAGUUAAAAUUUACUAUCAAAGAACAAGAUGGAGAGGAAUGUGAACAAAACUUGGCUUAGAGCUGAGGUUGGAAAUUUGAAUACAUUUAAUCCCAAAGUGGGGUUAGUUCUAAUUAAAUGAACUCAACUGCCUUUCACCCCUGAAAGGCAGUCAUCAUGAUUAAUCUUUAAGCUAAUAGUCAGGGACAGCAGGACUAAGCAGAC
Molecule: long non-coding RNA, 2809 nt
Organism: Bos taurus (domestic cattle)
Lineage: Eukaryota; Metazoa; Chordata; Mammalia; Artiodactyla; Bovidae
Source: Ensembl